UUUGCACCGAAAGAAGAAGGAAUAGUUGUGAAGAGGACGAAGAAACAAUUUGGUAAUACGAAGAAUGAAUCGAAACUACUAAAAGCCCAGAAACAAGUGAAACGCGCCGUUGAACUACAUUUGAAAAUUUUUGACAUAUUUGAUAUUCUCGCGAGCAUCCAUAGCGGUACAAUAUUUUCGAUUUUUCUGCCGAAUGCGGUUCUUAUGGGGAUUUCCCUGUAUGAUUUUGAACAUUCAUUGGCUAAGAUGGACUCGUACGGCCUUUCGUUUGCUAUUCUUUGCUUGAUUUGUUCUUUAAUUUGGCCAUUUCUUCUGUGUAACUUUGCGACUUUUGCUACCCAACGAAUGAAAUUCAUUGCAUAUGAUGCAUACGAUUCGAAUUGGUACGACUGUC
Long non-coding RNA from Sitodiplosis mosellana (orange wheat blossom midge), 394 nucleotides. RefSeq lists it as uncharacterized. The record is from RefSeq and is a predicted model, not a curated record. The transcript has 3 exons. Lineage: Eukaryota; Metazoa; Arthropoda; Insecta; Diptera; Cecidomyiidae.